RNAcentral lists this non-coding RNA (175 nucleotides) under Clostridium acidisoli. RNAcentral's name for it is "Lysine sequence". It matches the Rfam family "Lysine riboswitch aptamer". From Rfam's summary of the family: Riboswitches are metabolite binding domains within certain messenger RNAs that serve as precision sensors for their corresponding targets. Allosteric rearrangement of mRNA structure is mediated by ligand binding, and this results in modulation of gene expression. Lineage: Bacteria; Bacillati; Bacillota; Clostridia; Eubacteriales; Clostridiaceae. RNAcentral also lists the same sequence under 1 other name. The record is from RNAcentral.
AACUAAGGUAGAGGUGCGUUAUUUAAUAGUAUAUCUGUGGAUAAAAGCAAAUAUGAAACGGAUAAAAAGGAAAUGGCGCCGAAGUGUAUAGUGGAAGCUUUAACACUAUAUAACUGGUUUUACAUAAAACAUAUGUAAAACUGUCACAACCAUUUUGUGGAGGGCUAUCAUUCAA